CUCCCAGUAGCGUAAUGGAUAGCGCGUUGAACAUGUAAUCCAAAGGUCGUGGAUUCCAAUCUUACCUGGGAUG
This is a non-coding RNA of Trichonephila clavipes, 73 nucleotides long. NCBI's taxonomy places the organism in Eukaryota, Metazoa, Arthropoda, Arachnida, Araneae, Nephilidae. The record is from the annotation of a GenBank genome assembly.